RNAcentral lists this unclassified non-coding RNA (253 nucleotides) under uncultured Phycisphaeraceae bacterium. RNAcentral describes it as "contains 16S-23S intergenic spacer region". It matches the Rfam family "Bacterial small subunit ribosomal RNA", at positions 524 to 776 of the family's 1533-position model. The record is from RNAcentral. Lineage: Bacteria; Pseudomonadati; Planctomycetota; Phycisphaerae; Phycisphaerales; Phycisphaeraceae.
UACGAAGGGCCCAAGCGUUGCGCGGAAUCACUGGGCUUAAAGGGUGCGCAGGCGGACUCGCAAGUAUCUUGUGAAAUCCCACGGCUCAACCGUGGAAUUGCAAGGUAUACUGCGGGUCUUGAGCCCGGCAGAGGCCAUCGGAACUCUAGGUGGAGCGGUGAAAUGCGUAGAUAUCUAGAGGAACGCCAAAGGUGAAGACAGAUGGCUGGGCCGGCGCUGACGCUCAGGCACGAAAGCGUGGGGAGCGAACGGG